RNAcentral lists this long non-coding RNA (308 nucleotides) under Bos mutus (wild yak). RNAcentral describes it as "lncRNA (ENSBMUG00000015902.1)". Lineage: Eukaryota; Metazoa; Chordata; Mammalia; Artiodactyla; Bovidae. The record is from RNAcentral.
UGGGAAUCCGCUUCCAGCUUCUCUGUUUCUGGAUACCGUGCAAAACACAGGCACCCCAGCCUGCUACCCACUUCUCAUCUUUCUCGGUGGAUGAUAGGUCGCCCGUGCAUCGAGGCUGGACCUUGCGGGCUGCCCGGUUGGAGUGGGACUUCCCUACCAUUCUGUGCUCUCUUGACCCUCAACUCAGUCAAAACUCAGCCUUCUCACACCUGGUCCUGUCCAUCAUCCAUCUGCUGAAGAACAGCAGAAUGCUGUAUCACUCAGACUCAUGGGACAUAACACCACUGCUGGAUGCCUGGUACAUUUAA